GAAUUCGCCCUUAGAGUUUGAUCCUGGCUCAGGACGAACGCUGGCGGCGCGCCUAACACAUGCAAGUCGAACGAGCGAGAGAGAGCUUGCUUUCUCGAGCGAGUGGCGAACGGGUGAGUAACGCGUGAGGAACCUGCCUCAAAGAGGGGGGACAACAGUUGGAAACGACUGCUAAUACCGCAUAUGCCCACGGUGUCGCAUGGCACAGAGGGAAAAGGAGCAAUCCGCUUUGAGAUGGCCUCGCGUCCGAUUAGCUAGUUGGUGAGGUAAUGGCCCACCAAGGCGACGAUCGGUAGCCGGACUGAGAGGUUGAACGGCCACAUUGGGACUGAGACACGGCCCAGACUCCUACGGGAGGCAGCAGUGGGGAAUAUUGCACAAUGGGGGAAACCCUGAUGCAGCGACGCCGCGUGGAGGAAGAAGGUCUUCGGAUUGUAAACUCCUGUUGUUGGGGAAGAUAAUGACGGUACCCAACAAGGAAGUGACGGCUAACUACGUGCCAGCAGCCGCGGUAAAACGUAGGUCACAAGCGUUGUCCGGAAUUACUGGGUGUAAAGGGAGCGCAGGCGGGAAGACAAGUUGGAAGUGAAAUCUAUGGGCUCAACCCAUAAACUGCUUUCAAAACUGUUUUUCUUGAGUAGUGCAGAGGUAGGCGGAAUUCCCGGUGUAGCGGUGGAAUGCGUAGAUAUCGGGAGGAACACCAGUGGCGAAGGCGGCCUACUGGGCACCAACUGACGCUGAGGCUCGAAAGUGUGGGUAGCAAACAGGAUUAGAUACCCUGGUAGUCCACACCGUAAACGAUGAUUA
RNAcentral lists this ribosomal RNA (807 nucleotides) under uncultured bacterium. RNAcentral's name for it is "bacterial SSU rRNA". It matches the Rfam family "Bacterial small subunit ribosomal RNA", at positions 1 to 815 of the family's 1533-position model. The record is from RNAcentral.